ACCAUCUUGACCAGGCUGGUCUCAAACUCCUGACCUUGUGAUCCACCCGCCUCGGCCUCCCAAAUUGCUGGGAUUACAGGCGUGAGCCACCGCGCCCGGCUAUAGGUCUGUUUUCUAAAUGCUUUAGUGUCUAAGAAACUCUAUUUCUUAGAAAGGGUUGCAGCCUACACAGCAGCCAUGCCACAGGCUGGGAAGUGUGCCUCUGGCCAAGACCACAGACCGGCACUU
RNAcentral lists this long non-coding RNA (228 nucleotides) under Homo sapiens (human). Its description in RNAcentral is "non-protein coding lnc-SMIM10L2A-6:1". The record is from RNAcentral. Lineage: Eukaryota; Metazoa; Chordata; Mammalia; Primates; Hominidae.